This 323-nucleotide long non-coding RNA is filed under the name Bos taurus (domestic cattle). Its description in RNAcentral is "long non-coding RNA NONBTAT026494". Lineage: Eukaryota; Metazoa; Chordata; Mammalia; Artiodactyla; Bovidae. The record is from RNAcentral.
ACAACGAGGUGACAGAAUAGUUGCUCAUCUAGUUCAUACUAAUGGAAUCAUAUAUAUCGUUCCCAGGAAUACAAACAUGUCUAAAGGUUAUCUUAGGGAUACCCAUUCAACCUAAAGAAUUGAAUCUAUGACUGUGAAAGUUUCUAGUUACAUGGCAUAGGGGGACAUACCUUGUAGAGAGGAUUUUAAUUCCCUUAUAAAGGGAAAAUAAAAAUAAAAAAAUUCUAAGAUCAUCAUGGAUUUGCCUCAAGUCACUGAGGAAGAGAUGAAGUCAUUUUAAUAUUUCUUCAUUCCAGACUACUGCUCCCUCACUCUCCCUCGUU